UACCAGCACCCCGAGUGGUCGGGACGAUUAUUGGGCCUAAAGCAUCCGUAGCCGGUUCUACAAGUCUUCCGUUAAAUCCACCUGCUUAACAGAUGGGCUGCGGAGGAUACUACAAGGCUAGGAGGCGGAAGAGGCAAGCGGUACUCAGUGGGUAGGGGUAAAAUCCUCUGAUCCAUUGAAGACCACCAGUGGCGAAGGCGGCUUGCCAAUACGCGCUCGACGGUGAGGGAUGAAAGCUGGGGGAGCAAACCGG
This 253-nucleotide ribosomal RNA is filed under the name uncultured bacterium. RNAcentral describes it as "partial 16S ribosomal RNA". It matches the Rfam family "Archaeal small subunit ribosomal RNA", at positions 474 to 727 of the family's 1478-position model. The record is from RNAcentral.